Molecule: ribosomal RNA, 490 nt
Filed under: uncultured bacterium
Lineage: Bacteria
Description: partial 16S ribosomal RNA
Rfam family: Bacterial small subunit ribosomal RNA
Source: RNAcentral
GAUGAACGCUCGCUCCAGGCUUAACACAUGCAAGUCGAGGGGCAGCAUGGUCUUAGCUUGCUAAGGCCGAUGGCGACCGGCGCACGGGUGAGUAACACGUAUCCAACCUGCCGUCUACUCUUGGACAGCCUUCUGAAAGGAAGAUUAAUACAAGAUGGCAUCAUGAGUCCGCAUGUUCACAUGAUUAAAGGUAUUCCGGUAGACGAUGGGGAUGCGUUCCAUUAGAUAGUAGGCGGGGUAACGGCCCACCUAGUCUUCGAUGGAUAGGGGUUCUGAGAGGAAGGUCCCCCACAUUGGAACUGAGACACGGUCCAAACUCCUACGGGAGGCAGCAGUGAGGAAUAUUGGGCAAUGGGCGAGAGCCUGAACCAGCCAAGUAGCGUGAAGGAUGACUGCCCUAUGGGUUGUAAACUUCUUUUAUAAAGGAAUAAAGUCGGGUAUGGAUACCCGUUUGCAUGUACUUUAUGAAUAAGGAGCGGCUAACUCCGUG